AUCUGUGAUGCUAUAGCACUCCACACCUUCCCAGUGGCUGCAAUUACACACAUCAAGUUUCAGAAUGGAUGACAAGUUCUAAGAAGCCUGGGAGAGCUGAGUGGGAGACAUGGGCUGAGUUGCUGGCAUCGGGCAAGGGCACACAAAGGUACCAGCUGAAAGUUUUUCUCGGAAAUACCUGGUUUUGGAGACAACUUGUAGAAUGUUAACCGAGAGUACCAGUGGGGAGAAAUGGCGGUGGCUCUGAAGGAGUAUCUACGUGGGAACUACAGUCCAUCUGCAGCACAAUUCACACAAACAUCAGAGGUCACUGUGACAUACAGCAGGCAGUCGGCAGUCUCGAGAGAAGGGGAGAAUUCGCCUGGAAUCUGGCCUCACUCUGCAGUGGAAGAAAAACAUCACCAUUCACCCAUUCAGAGGUAAAAAACUGGCUGAGGGAUGUUCUGAACACUCUCACACUUUGCUACUUCCAUAAUUUACCUCCAGUUCCACUUCCCCGAUUAACAAAAAUGUCCAUCUUUUUUUUUCAUAAUUUUCCUAAGGCUUGCAGGCUUUUAAAAUGGACAUAUUUUCACUGGGAUGGGUAUGUCUAAUGUCUCUGGCUUGGGUUCCCUUUGAAUUCUGUUUUUGACCCAAACUGUAUGGUUUCUAAAAAAGCAUUACCUCUACCAUAGUUCACAUUCCACAAUCCCUCAAAUAACUCCUUGAAAAUCAGAGUGUGGUGAGGUAUCUCAGCAUCGUGCUCCCACUUCUGAACUCUUGCCUCCGUUUCUGUGAUUCAUUUAUAUUUUCAGACCCUAAAGACUGAUUUAGUUAAUUUUCAUAUCUCACUAAUUCAUGACUUGGCUUUCUUGUUUUACUAAUUAGUCUUUGUAUUAAUCUCAGAGAUUCAAGCUGGC
This 899-nucleotide long non-coding RNA is filed under the name Microcebus murinus (gray mouse lemur). RNAcentral's name for it is "lncRNA (ENSMICG00000048422.1)". Lineage: Eukaryota; Metazoa; Chordata; Mammalia; Primates; Cheirogaleidae. The record is from RNAcentral.